Molecule: non-coding RNA, 30 nt
Filed under: Mus musculus (house mouse)
Lineage: Eukaryota; Metazoa; Chordata; Mammalia; Rodentia; Muridae
Source: RNAcentral
UAAGACUCAAAAAAAGNGUUAAAGCAAGGU